GCUCGAGGGACAGCACUGAGGGCCACUCUACCCUCACUCAGCCACCCACAGUCCACUCCUGCUUGGUCCAGCAGAGGAACAGUCAUCACAUGUCAUAUUUGCAAACUGUUAGAUGAGUAACGAAAGCAACCUCACUCUGUUUGGCCUGAUAGUUUAAUGUCUUUUUUCCACUUAUUUGAGGAUUAUCCGGAACAUCAACGCAGUGCAUACAACAUACAAUCAUCGAUGGUGUGUGCAGUACCUACAAGUUGGCACUUUACCAGUUACAAAGCAAUUUCAUACAUACUGCCUCAGACAGAAUCUAAUACCAGCCUGAAAGAUGAAUCAAGGAGGAAUUACUACAUAUGAGGAAAGGGAAGUCAAAAGAGAAGACUGAGGAUCAGAGUUUAAGGAAAAUUGCCCAAGGACAUCAGUCAAG
Molecule: long non-coding RNA, 418 nt
Organism: Prionailurus viverrinus (fishing cat)
Lineage: Eukaryota; Metazoa; Chordata; Mammalia; Carnivora; Felidae
Exons: 3
Source: RefSeq, a predicted model, not a curated record